GGCGGGGCCGGCGCCUGUCCGGACAAGACCUUGGACGUCCUAGCAUGACCCAACCGGACCUCGCGUCUGUCCCCGGGUGGCCUCUGUCCCCGAGUGACCGCUGCGGAGGAGGCGGCCGCUUGGGAGCAGCCCUCGAAGGCACGUCCGGCCUCCUCCCUCGUUUUGGUCCCACUCCGGUUGGGAUCCCUGUGUUCCGUUUCCCUAAAGGAGCCGUAGGAACCGCCCUGGGGUCCAGGCGGACGGGGAGGGGCGCCUGGCCCUGGGUGCUCGAGGGAACGACCCCAAAACGCAAUCCAAGGACGAGGAACCUGCUCCCUGGAGGAGGCGGCCGAACCCUGGGGAGCGUGCGUCCAGGUUCAUUGCGGUAUGCCGCAGAGGACCGCAGCUUCUUUUCCAAGUUAUCCAUAAUUCCUGGCUUUGUGCAUUUUUUGGCUUAACUGAACCCCAUCUGUUCAUCUGAGGAGAAAGCCAGCUUUCAUGUCAUGAGAACAUUCAGGAAGCCUAUGGAGAACCCUAUGGGAACAGGUCACCAGCCAACAGCUGGUUGACUGAGUGGUGCCCCAGACUGUGUGAGGGAGCUGGGAGGCAUCCUUCCUUGCCUUCAUCACAGAUUUCCUUGCAAUGGCUAACCUGGACCUUGUAAACAGUAUCAUCCCUCCUAGAUACCGUAUGCCACACAAAAUAUGUAGGUGCGUUGGUUCUUCCUUCUAAACCCUUCUCCCUCCCCUGAGAUCUGAGUAAUUGAACCACACGAGAAACUGAUCACAGAGAGCAGAUUGGACAGAGAGGAAAAUGGAAACGUGUGCUGUUUGAAAUUACCGCAGGUCUGAGGUGGCCAAGAGUCACUCCUCCUGGGCUGGCAGGCCCCGCAGGGAGCCUCGCACCAAUUUCCCUCCAGCUCUGCUGCGGCCGAGGCCUUAAUUGAAGACCUGUCCUACUUAGUUCUCUUCAGAGAAACCACGCUCAGUUGUUGGAUGUUUAAAAUCUAGUAAUUCUUCUGGCAUUUAAAGAGCAACACCUCCAUGGGAAGGAAAGCAGCAUGAGGAGGAUCUGCACUCCUGUGCUCAUACCCUAAUAUUCACACCAGCUAAGACAUAGAAACAGGCCAAGGGGUCAUGGUGAAUAGGUGGAUAGGAAAGUUGUGGUAUCUACCUGCAACAGAGUGUUUUUUGGCCCUAAGAGAGGAAGUCCUGCCAUUGACAACCACCUGGAUGAGCCUGGAGGACAUUAUGCUAAGUGAAAUAAGUCUCAGGAAGACAAACACUAUAUGAUCUCAUUUCAGUGUUGCCACCGCUCUCGGAACACAAGUCUUCGGAAAUGUGUCCCGUGAACCCUCUGAGGCUCUUGCCAAGCUCCAGAACGGCUGAGACACACAGAGGGAGAGUGGCUGAAGCACAGGGCCUGUCUGGAGACCCGCAGGG
Molecule: long non-coding RNA, 1421 nt
Organism: Myotis daubentonii (Daubenton's bat)
Lineage: Eukaryota; Metazoa; Chordata; Mammalia; Chiroptera; Vespertilionidae
Source: RefSeq, a predicted model, not a curated record